RNAcentral lists this ribosomal RNA (500 nucleotides) under Enterococcus faecium. RNAcentral's name for it is "bacterial SSU rRNA". It matches the Rfam family "Bacterial small subunit ribosomal RNA", at positions 34 to 504 of the family's 1533-position model. The record is from RNAcentral. Lineage: Bacteria; Bacillati; Bacillota; Bacilli; Lactobacillales; Enterococcaceae.
CGCUGGCGGCGUGCCUAAUACAUGCAAGUCGAACGCUUCUUUUUCCACCGGAGCUUGCUCCACCGGAAAAAGAGGAGUGGCGAACGGGUGAGUAACACGUGGGUAACCUGCCCAUCAGAAGGGGAUAACACUUGGAAACAGGUGCUAAUACCGUAUAACAAUCGAAACCGCAUGGUUUUGAUUUGAAAGGCGCUUUCGGGUGUCGCUGAUGGAUGGACCCGCGGUGCAUUAGCUAGUUGGUGAGGUAACGGCUCACCAAGGCCACGAUGCAUAGCCGACCUGAGAGGGUGAUCGGCCACAUUGGGACUGAGACACGGCCCAAACUCCUACGGGAGGCAGCAGUAGGGAAUCUUCGGCAAUGGACGAAAGUCUGACCGAGCAACGCCGCGUGAGUGAAGAAGGUUUUCGGAUCGUAAAACUCCUGUUGUUAGAGAAGAACAAGGAUGAGAGUAACUGUUCAUCCCUUGACGGUAUCUAACCAGAAAGCCACGGCUAACUCG